GCGGGUUUAGCUCAGUUGGGAGAGCGUCAGACUGAAGUCAGACUUCAAUCACUAUCAUUCGAUAUCUGAAGGUCGUGUGUUCGAUCCACACAAACCGCA
RNAcentral lists this transfer RNA (99 nucleotides) under Fusarium equiseti. Its description in RNAcentral is "tRNA-Phe". It matches the Rfam family "tRNA". From Rfam's summary of the family: Transfer RNA (tRNA) molecules are approximately 80 nucleotides in length. Their secondary structure includes four short double-helical elements and three loops (D, anti-codon, and T loops). The record is from RNAcentral. Lineage: Eukaryota; Fungi; Ascomycota; Sordariomycetes; Hypocreales; Nectriaceae.